RNAcentral lists this ribosomal RNA (395 nucleotides) under uncultured bacterium. RNAcentral's name for it is "bacterial SSU rRNA". It matches the Rfam family "Bacterial small subunit ribosomal RNA", at positions 29 to 432 of the family's 1533-position model. The record is from RNAcentral.
AUUGAACGCUGGCGGCAUGCCUAACACAUGCAAGUCGAACGCGAAAGGGCUUCGGCCUGAGUAGAGUGGCGGACGGGUGAGUAAUGUGUGGGAAUCUGCCCUGCAGUGGGGGACAACCCGGGGAAACUCGGGCUAAUACCGCAUACGACCUACGGGUGAAAGGGGGGUUUCGGCCUCUCGCUGCAGGAUGAGCCCACAUCCGAUUAGCUAGUUGGUAGGGUAAAGGCCUACCAAGGCAACGAUCGGUAGCUGGUCUGAGAGGAUGAUCAGCCACACUGGGACUGAGACACGGCCCAGACUCCUACGGGAGGCAGCAGUGGGGAAUAUUGGACAAUGGGCGCAAGCCUGAUCCAGCAAUGCCGCGUGUGUGAAGAAGGCCUGCGGGUUGUAAAGCA